CGGAGGGUGCAAGCGUUAUCCGGAUUCACUGGGUUUAAAGGGUGCGUAGGUGGCUUUGUAAGUCAGUGGUGAAAUCUCGGAGCUUAACUCCGAAACUGCCAUUGAUACUGCUUAGCUUGAAUCAAGUAGAGGUGGAUGGAAUAUUACAUGUAGCGGUGAAAUGCUUAGAUAUGUAAUAGAACACCGAUUGCGAAGGCAGUUCACUAUGCUUGUAUUGACACUGAGGCACGAAAGCGUGGGGAUCAAACAGGAUUAGAUACCCUGGUAGUCCACGCCCUAAACGAUGUAAACUCGACAUCAGCGAUACACAGUUGGUGUCCAAGGGAAACCGUUAAGUUUACCACCUGGGAAGUACGACCGCAAGGUUG
Molecule: ribosomal RNA, 368 nt
Filed under: uncultured organism
Description: bacterial SSU rRNA
Rfam family: Bacterial small subunit ribosomal RNA
Source: RNAcentral